Molecule: ribosomal RNA, 465 nt
Filed under: Vreelandella stevensii
Lineage: Bacteria; Pseudomonadati; Pseudomonadota; Gammaproteobacteria; Oceanospirillales; Halomonadaceae
Description: partial 16S ribosomal RNA
Rfam family: Bacterial small subunit ribosomal RNA
Source: RNAcentral
CCUACGGGUGGCAGCAGUGGGGAAUAUUGGACAAUGGGGGCAACCCUGAUCCAGCCAUGCCGCGUGUGUGAAGAAGGCCCUCGGGUUGUAAAGCACUUUCAGUGAGGAAGAACGCCUGGUGGUUAAUACCCAUCAGGAAAGACAUCACUCACAGAAGAAGCACCGGCUAACUCCGUGCCAGCAGCCGCGGUAAUACGGAGGGUGCGAGCGUUAAUCGGAAUUACUGGGCGUAAAGCGCGCGUAGGUGGCUUGAUAAGCCGGUUGUGGAAGCCCCGGGCUCAACCUGGGAACGGCAUCCGGAACUGUCAAGCUAGAGUGCAGGAGAGGAAGGUAGAAUUCCCGGUGUAGCGGUGAAAUGCGUAGAGAUCGGGAGGAAUACCAGUGGCGAAGGCGGCCUUCUGGACUGACACUGACACUGAGGUGCGAAAGCGUGGGUAGCAAACAGGAUUAGAUACCCUUGUAGUC